AGGGCGUGUAGUGGAUGCCUUGGCACUGAAAGCCGAUGAAGGACGUGAUAUACUGCGAUAAGUUUCGGGGAGCUGUAUGUAAGUUUUGAUCCGAAAAUUUCCGAAUGGGGAAACCCACCACUUUAUGUGGUACUUUAAACUGAAUACAUAGGUUUAAAGAGACAACCUGGAGAACUGAAACAUCUAAGUAACCAGAGGAAAAGAAAUCAAUUGAGAUUCCGUUAGUAGUGGCGAGCGAACGCGGACUAGGCCAGUAGUUUUGUUAAAAAAAUUUGAAUAGUUUGGAAAUGCUAACCAUAGAGGGUGAUAGUCCCGUAUGAGUAAUGUUUAACAAAAUUCUUGAGUAAAGCGGGACACGAGAAAUCCUGCUCGAAUAUAGGGGGACCACCCUCUAAGCCUAAAUACUCUUCAGUGACCGAUAGUGAACUAGUACCGUGAGGGAAAGGUGAAAAGAACCCCUAUUAGGGGAGUGAAAUAGAACCUGAAACUGCAUGCCUACAAUCAGUCCGAGCCCUUUUUAGGGUGAGGGCGUACCUUUUGUAUAAUGGGUCAGUGACUUAAUUUAUUAAGCAAGCUUAAGCCAUCUAGGUGUAGGCGCAGCGAAAGCAAGUCUUAAUAGGGCGAUUAGUUUAAUGAAUUAGACCCGAAAACGAAUGAGCUUACCAUGAGCAGGUUGAAAGUUGGGUAACACCAACCGGAGGACCGAACCAGUUGACGUUGAAAAGUCUUUGGAUGACUUGUGGUAAGGGGUGAAAGGCCAACCAAAUUCGUAGAUAGCUGGUUUUCCGCGAAAACUAUUUAGGUAGUGCGUUGAAUAAAUAGAUGUUUAGAGGUAGAGCACUAAAUGGGCUAGGGGGAAGAGAUUCUUACCAAACCUAAUAAAACUCCGAAUGCUAGACAUUGUUCUUCAACAGACAGACUGUGGGUGCUAAGGUCCAUGGUCGAGAGGGAAAGAGCCCAGACCACCAGAUAAGGUCCCAAAAUUAUGAUUAAGUGUGAAAGGAUGUGGAAAUUCCUUAACAGCCGGGAGGUUGGCUUAGAAGCAGCCAUCCUUUAAAGAUAGCGUAACAGCUCACCGGUCUAAUAGAGUUUCUGCGCCGAAGAUGUAACGGGGCUAAAAUCAUAUACCGAAUCUGUGGGUUUAUAAAACUUUCGAGUUUUAUAAGCGGUAGCGGAACGUUCUGUAAGCCUGUGAAGGGAUACCCGUGAGGGAUCCUGGAGGUAUCAGAAGUGCGAAUGCUGACAUAAGUAACGAUAAAAGAAGUGAAAAACUUCUUCGCCGAAAAUCCAAGGGUUCCUGCGCAAGGUUAAUCCGCGCAGAGUUAGUCGGCACCUAAGGCGAGGGCGAAAGCCGUAGUCGAUGGAAACAAGGUUAAUAUUCCUUGACCUGAUGGUAGUGACGGAUUCUGUAAGUUGUGAGUUCUUAAUGGAUUGAACUUGCCGCGAAGGGGUCCCAAGAAAUAGCUCCAUCAUUAAGACCGUACCCUAAACCGACACAGGUAGAUUAAUAGAGUAUAUUUAGGCGCUUGAGAGAAUGAUGUUGAAGGAACUCGGCAAAAUGCUUCCGUAACUUCGGGAUAAGGAAGACCCUUUUGUAGGCAACUAUGGAAGGGUGGCACAAGCCAGGGAGAAGCGACUGUUUAUCAAAAACACAGGGCUCUGCUAACACGUAAGUGGAUGUAUAGGGUCUGACGCCUGCCCGGUGCUGGAAGGUUAAUGCGGUUGGUGCAAGCUAACUUCUGAAGCCCCAGUAAACGGCGGCCGUAACUAUAACGGUCCUAAGGUAGCGAAAUUCCUUGUCGGGUAAGUUCCGACCUGCAUGAAUGGCGUAACGAUUUCUCCGCUGUCUCCAACAUCAACUCAGUGAAAUUGAAUUCUCCGUGAAGAUGCGGAGUUCGCGUAGUUAGACGGAAAGACCCCGUGCACCUUUACUGCAACUUUACAUUGGUGUUAGGAAAAACAUAUUUAGCAUAGGAGGGAGACUUUGAAGCAAAGGCGUCAGCUUUUGUGGAGUCACCAGUGAAAUACCUCUUUUGUUUUUCUUGAUAUCUAACUGAUUGCCGUCAUCCGGCAUCAAGACAUUGUAUGGUGGGUAGUUUGACUGGGGCGGUCGCCUCCCAAAUAGUAACGGAGGCGUGCGAAGGUAGGCUCAGAACGGUCAGAAAUCGUUCGUAGAGUGCAAUGGCAUAAGCCUGCCUGACUGUGAGACUGACAAGUCGAGCAGAGACGAAAGUCGGUCAUAGUGAUCCGGUGGUUCUGAGUGGAAGGGCCAUCGCUCAACGGAUAAAAGGUACGCCGGGGAUAACAGG
This 2309-nucleotide ribosomal RNA is filed under the name marine metagenome. RNAcentral's name for it is "bacterial LSU rRNA". It matches the Rfam family "Bacterial large subunit ribosomal RNA", at positions 14 to 2481 of the family's 2925-position model. The record is from RNAcentral.